UGGCUCAGAACGAACGCUGGCGGCAGGCUUAACACAUGCAAGUCGAGCGCCCCGCAAGGGGAGCGGCAGACGGGUGAGUAACGCGUGGGAAUCUACCCAUCUCUACGGAAUAACGCAUGGAAACGUGUGCUAAUACCGUAUACGUCCUUUUGGAGAAAGAUUUAUCGGAGAUGGAUGAGCCCGCGUUGGAUUAGCUAGUUGGUGGGGUAAAGGCCUACCAAGGCGACGAUCCAUAGCUGGUCUGAGAGGAUGAUCAGCCACACUGGGACUGAGACACGGCCCAGACUCCUACGGGAGGCAGCAGUGGGGAAUAUUGGACAAUGGGCGCAAGCCUGAUCCAGCCAUGCCGCGUGAGUGAUGAAGGCCCUAGGGUUGUAAAGCUCUUUCACCGGUGAAGAUAAUGACGGUAACCGGAGAAGAAGCCCCGGCUAACUUCGUGCCA
RNAcentral lists this ribosomal RNA (442 nucleotides) under Aminobacter sp. CC-BC19. RNAcentral describes it as "bacterial SSU rRNA". It matches the Rfam family "Bacterial small subunit ribosomal RNA", at positions 20 to 510 of the family's 1533-position model. The record is from RNAcentral. Lineage: Bacteria; Pseudomonadati; Pseudomonadota; Alphaproteobacteria; Hyphomicrobiales; Phyllobacteriaceae.